UUUAACUGAAGAGUUUGAUCAUGGCUCAGAUUGAACGCUGGCGGCAGGCUUAACACAUGCAAGUCGAGCGGAGAGAGGUAGCUUGCUACCGAUCUUAGCGGCGG
This 104-nucleotide ribosomal RNA is filed under the name Acinetobacter pittii. Its description in RNAcentral is "partial 16S ribosomal RNA". It matches the Rfam family "Bacterial small subunit ribosomal RNA", at positions 1 to 101 of the family's 1533-position model. The record is from RNAcentral. Lineage: Bacteria; Pseudomonadati; Pseudomonadota; Gammaproteobacteria; Moraxellales; Moraxellaceae.